UGGGGAAUAUUGGACAAUGGGGGCAACCCUGAUCCAGCCAUGCCGCGUGAAUGAUGAAGGCCUUCGGGUUGUAAAGUUCUUUUGGCGGGGACGAUGAUGACGGUACCCACAGAAUAAGCUCCGGCUAACUUCGUGCCAGCAGCCGCGGUAAUACGAAGGGAGCUAGCGUUGUUCGGAAUUACUGGGCGUAAAGGGCGCGUAGGCGGUUUGACAAGUUGGAUGUGAAAGCCCUGGGCUCAACCCGGGAAUUGCAUUCAAGACUGUUUUACUAGAAUUCGGUAGAGGUUGGUAGAAUUCCCAGUGUAGAGGUGAAAUUCGUAGAGAUUGGGAAGAAUACCCGUGGCGAAGGCGGCCAACUGGACCGACAUUGACGCUGAGGCGCGAAAGCGUGGGUAGCAAACAGGAUUAGAUACCCCCGUAGUCC
RNAcentral lists this ribosomal RNA (424 nucleotides) under uncultured bacterium. RNAcentral describes it as "bacterial SSU rRNA". It matches the Rfam family "Bacterial small subunit ribosomal RNA", at positions 355 to 796 of the family's 1533-position model. The record is from RNAcentral.